Silurus meridionalis is the source of this 2914-nucleotide long non-coding RNA. RefSeq lists it as uncharacterized. The record is from RefSeq and is a predicted model, not a curated record. The transcript has 4 exons. Lineage: Eukaryota; Metazoa; Chordata; Actinopteri; Siluriformes; Siluridae.
GGCAUGGUUGUCAGCAUAUGGUUGGGGAGCUUUAGUUCAGCACGCUCUUUCUUCAUACCCUGUAGUUAGGUGUCAUAGAAAGAGUGGAGGCAUUGAGUGAACAUGUUAAAACAGGUUUCUCCCAAGAGCAGGAGGUCAGUGUCUUUCUCUCUCUCUCUCUAUCGUUCUCCUUCCCUCUUUCAUCACCAGACCACCCUGCUGAACACAAUUACACCCACAGCAAGCUCUUGGCCUGAACCCCCACCUUGCCACAGGGCCGGUCACAACACAUGCUGGUGAUAGCUCUCCUGUAGUACAGCUUCACAUUUCUGUAGAGGAGACUGAUAUUCAAGGCUGCAUCACAUUACAGUCUACAAAAACAUUCAACCAUGUUCUCGACUAAUGUAAAAACAAUUCCAGCUUUAUACAGAGUUUGACCAUGUCAGCAGAGGAGCAUUAAAGUAAACAGCUUCUUGCACUGACUGGCCACUACCAGGAAAAUGACUUGCCAGUGUUUGGCAGAUUAACAGAGAGCCCCCUAAUGGAGUAAUUACAGAGACCCAAACAUCUAUUUUUCACCAGUGAACUGCCAUUACUCUCCGGUCCCCCCAGCCACUCAAUUGAAAGUCACUUACACUCCUUACAAUGAGUUAUCAUUGACUGCCAUUUAGGCGUUCUGGAGCAAUUUGUCUUACUGAGGCCAUGUGCUGGUCUCAUUGCAGCGAAGAAUCAUUCUUUCUCCAAUAUAUCAAACAUUCAAGAUGAAAAAAGGAGCAAACACCCCACAAACAGAUAGCGGUAUGUCGCUAAUAGAUACUUUGAAGGAAGGAGACAAGAAAAAAUGAAUGUAGAUAAAAGUGGAGGAUGAAGUGGAGGUGCUGCCAUGAAGAUUGCUCCCCUCGUGGAAACUCCCACCUUCUCUGUGCAGCAGGCCAUCCAGGGUCUCAUCAGCCCCCGUGAUUAAGAUUUGGCACCUUGGACCACAUUGUCUUCAUUUGGAAAUAUUUCAGCCGCAUUCGUGCCACUCAGAGGGGAAAGCGAAAGAAAGGAGGAGUAGGGGAAAACACACCCUGUUGUGUGAAUCCUGGAGAAGGCCUUGAACCCUGCCAUUCAUACCAUUCACUUCAUCAGCUGAGUCUAAUUGCCAGAGAGGACAGGAGACCCCAGGGCCGAUUGUUCCUUAUCCUCUUUGGAGCCUUCUGAGGCAUGAAAAGUGAAAGGCCUGCUUUUGAUCUUUUUUUUCUCUAUCCCUUACACUCUCUGUCCAUCUCUCUCUCCUGAUUUGCUUUCUCUUUUCUGUCAUCCCUGCUAUCCUUUCCCUCUGAGUGACACCCUCCUUUCACACUAUGUGCCCUCUUCUCCAUCCACGCAAAAUAAUUAUCAAGCGCCGCUUCAUCAAAUAAUGCCUGAGAUGGGAGGUCAUGGCAGGGAGGGCCAGAGGUCUGAAGAGGAUUGAAUCCUUGAUCCAAGGAGAAGCUCCAAGCUCAUCUUAGCAGCAUGCUCCUUAGCUCACGGCAUCUUUAUGUACCAUGACCCCGGGUUUUCGUUCGCCUCUCUUAAUGAGACCUUCCAGCUCAGCCGAUGGAGUCUCUAUCUGAGACUGGGAGGCCAGACUACAAAUAAGACACGGGGGCCGCACUCAAACAAGGGAGCAUCUGUGCACGUCUUAUUAGGGCACAGCAAAGAGCUCACUCUUCUAAGGGUUCCACCAAAACCAAGAACAUAUCUAUUGACACCUACUUGUCCCUCAGUGGUCAGUAUCUUUCAGACGAAGCACAGACUUCACACACACUAGGUCUUGAGAGAAGUAAUUUUAGAGAACUUUUGAAGAGCCAAGUGGUUAACUCAUUAUAGGUAGAAUUGCAUAAGCAAACGAACAAUGAUAAACAACAAAAUUCCUUAUACUAAGACCUGAAAAAGUGCAUGAGGUCUGAAAAAAAAAGUCCUUCACAUGAAUGUGCAGAACAAGGGCCCAGACACUCAGAUGCUGAGCUCAACCAUUCUUAGCAACAUUCAUUAUCAGAAUUGUUGAGAAAUGGAGUGGGAAUUUUGUUCUCAAUGUGUCUAAAAAGUUUGUAUGAUAUGUACAAGUGGCCUGUUAGUCUUGGUUAUUAUUUCCAAAAGUGCUUGGGCAGUAAGUAGUGAUUCAGAAAUGUAAAGGCAUGCACAACAAUAACUGAGUACUUUAAAGAAGUUUGUUUUUAUAAAACAAGCACAAUACCUUUUUUGAAAUUCUAGAUUUGCAUACAAAGUGAAAAAGUUGCAUGUGAAAUAAAAUAACCUGUUUUGAUUUCUUACUAUAAAACUGUGCUCGGUCUUUAUAUUUAUUUAAUUUAAGCAAUAGCCUAAAUAUAAAAAAGGUGUUUAUUAUGAAUUCUUCACAGUUUUUUCAAAGUUAUUUAAGUUUUCUCAGUAAUUGAGAAGUGUAGCUGCAUUGCUAUAGAACACAAUUUACAGGAAUUUACUCUCAUAAAAAAGCAAAUAUGUGUUGCAAACCAACUCAUAAUAUUAUCCACAAUAGAGAAGCAUUUAUUUGAUAAAUUCUGGCUUGUUUUUUUUUUUUUUUUUGAAUAUUCAAAAGACAUAAAAUGCCAACAUUGGAAAUCAGUAAACGAAUUCUGGCCUUGUCCGCACAAACACUAAAAAAACUAAUUUAAAAAAUUGUAUCAUUAUCCAUGGAAUAAAAGUAUGAUGUAAAGAGGAAAAGGUAAGAGUGUCUAAUAUUACACAGUAGAUUAUGUGGCUCAUGUGCCAGCCAAAACAUUACAAUCAAUAUGCACAUAAAUAAAGAAGACUGUGUUGCUAACUACUAAUGUGUUGUUAAUAAAUGAUGAAGAGAAGACAAAUGUAAAUACAAAAAAAAAAGAAAUGAACUAGUGGAAGCUUUUGCCCAAGGGGACAGACUGUUGCAAAUAAAAAUCAGGAUACGCCAGUU